Molecule: small RNA, 3134 nt
Filed under: Pongo abelii (Sumatran orangutan)
Lineage: Eukaryota; Metazoa; Chordata; Mammalia; Primates; Hominidae
Description: retained intron
Source: RNAcentral
AUCUUCGGGUGUUUCUUGGUUCAUUGUGGCCUGGGUAUCUUGGAUUGCAAUCCCCCACUAAUCCCAGAUAAACUCCUUUGGAGAGCCUAUCUGUCUAUUGUUAUUUUAGGUUUUAGAACAUACACUAAAAAACUUGUUUACAGCACCAUUAUUCAUAGUAAAAAAGUGGAAACAACCCAAAUGUCCCACUGAUGAAUAAUGCAUAAACAAAAUGUAGUUCAUUCAUAUAAUGGAAUACUAUUUCAUCACAUAAAGGAAUGAAGUGCUGAUACACACCAUAACGUGAAUAAACCUCAAAAACACGGUGCUAAGGGAAGAAAGUCAGUUACGCUUUAAGCUGGUAACCUUUACAGCAUAUAAAUUACUUCUUAAUAAAGCGGUCUUUAAAAAAAAGAAACAGCUCAGCAACCACACAUACAUAUGAUAGAAGGGGAAUGAGAGAACCCAGAUGAAAAGGAAAGACAGGAAGAAACACAGUCUGCAAAAGAAAGAUGAAGAGUUCAUCUUAAGGAAAAUAUAAUCCAAGAAACAGAAGAAAAGCCCCUGCGAAAACUUUGUGCUAUAGAACACUUAAGUGUAUUUCUUCAUUCAGCGAAAGUACUGAGCCCCUAUGUGGCAUGCACCCUCCUGAGCCCGGGGAUUUAGCAGUAAGCUAAGUUCUUCCUUUCAUGAAGCAUGUCAUAUUCUUGUGCACAAAAAUAUAAGCACAAGGAGAUGAUUCCACUGAACCCCUCCCAUCAAGCAGGGGACGUUGAUUUGUCCACAGUGGAAUAGACACUUACUUUGAACAUGGAUUUGCCUUCUCUAGCUUUAUUCACUGUUUCACACAAGAUUGCUUCUGAUCAAAGAAUUUAUUUCACAGUAAAAGAAAUGUGCCACCAAAAGUGAGUUCAUGCUGAGAAAGUGGAAAAUGGCCCUGAUAGUAGCCAGGCUGUGAUUUUAAUCACUAAAUAUAAAAAAUGCUCACAGAUUGCAAACAGUAUUCCUUUUUUCUCCCUAGUUUCUUAAGGUAGAUGCUUGGGUCACUAAUUUGAGACAUUUCUCCUUUUCUAAUUUAAGUAUUAUAAGUAAUGCUAUAAAUUUCCCUCUGAACUUUGAGUACAUUUCACAAAUUCUAUUGUGUAUAAUUUAAAAUAUUUUAUAAUUUCACUUUUGAAUUCCUUUUGGUCAAAAGAUUUGUAUUAUUAUUAUUAUUAUUAUUAUUAUUAUUAUUAUUAUUAUUGAGACAGGGUCACCCAAGCUGGAGUGCAGAGGUACGAUCUCAGUUCACUGCAAUCUCCACCUCCCAAGCUCAAGAGAUUCUCCCACCUCAGCCUCCCGAGUAGCUGUGACCACAGGUGUGCACCACCAUGGUGGGCUAAUUUUUAAAUUUUUUCUAGAGGUAGGGUCCCACUAUGUUGCCCAGGCUGGUGUUGAACCCUUGGGCUCAAGUGAUCCUCUUGCCUUGGCCUCCCAAAGUGCUGGGAUUACAGGCAUAAGCCACUGCACCUGGCCCAAAAGAUAAUUUUUAAAUAAAUCAUUUAAAGAUAAUUGUUUAAAUGAGUUAUUGGUCUUAAAAAUGUCCUCAAAUACAUUUUCAAGAUAUAUUUUUGCGCUUAGUUUGUAGUUGGUUUUCACUGUGGUAAGAGAAUAAAAUUUGUAUUAUUUUAGUUGUUUUAAAUUUGUUGAUUUGCUUUAUGGCUCAAAUACGGCCUAUCGUGCUGAAUGUUACAUGUGCACUUGAAAAUAAUGUGUAUUCCACUGGUCCAGGUCAUGUGUUUUAUAAGUGAUGAUUAAGUCAAUUUGCUUGAUAGUAUUUUUCAGGAUUUUUAUAUCUUUGCCAAUAUUCCGUGUUCUUAUUCUGUCAAUUACUGACAGAGAAAUGUUGCAGUCUCCAACUCUAAUGGUGGCUUUCUGUAUUUCUCUUUUCAGUUUUUUGUUUGUUUGUUUGUUUGUUUGAGAUGGAGUCUUGCUCUGUCACCCAGGCUGGAGUGCAGUGCUGCGAUCUCGGCUUACUGCAAUCUCCACCUCCCAGGAUCAAGCAAUUCUCCUGCCUCAGCCUCCCGAGUAGCUGGGAUUACAGGCAUGCACCACCACACCUGGCUAAUUUUUGUAUUUUUAGUAGAGACGGGGUUUUGCCAUGUUAGCCAGGCUGGUCUUGAACUCCUGGCCUCAAGUAAUCCACCUGCUUCAGCCUCCCAAACUGCUGGGAUUACAGGCAUGAGCCCCCAUGCCUGGCCCAGACCGGACAUUUCUAUUGAUAUGUUUUUGAGUUCAUCGAUUUUUCGUUCCUCUAUCAUCUCUUGUCCACUACUGAGGCAGCCCAGUGAGUUUUUAAUUUCAAUUAUUAUAUUUUUGUUACAUAAUUUCCCUUGGUACCUUUUUAUAUCUUCUAUUUAUUUUCUACUUUCUAUUUGUAUUAAGAGUGUUAGUAAUUGCUCGAUGAAGCAUUUUCAUGAUAGUUGCUUUAAAAUUCUUGUCAGAUAAUCCCAAUGCCUGAGUCAUCUCAACGCUGGCACCUGUUGAUCAUCUCAAUCAACAUCUCUUCUCAAUGUUGAUCAUCUCUUCUCAAUGUACUGGUUCUUCGUAUAUGGAUUUUUUAUUGUAUCCUGGACAUUUUGGAUAUUAUGUUGUAAGAACAAAUUGUUUUUUCUUUUAAAUUCUUCUUCUUUUUGGGUAUAGUCUGCAGGCCCAGGUGGGGCUUCAUGUUCAGCUCACUGUUGGACUUCAUUGACAUCACCCUGAAAAAAAGUGGAUUUUUGAGGAGCUUGAGAAGAAGAGCAUGAGAAGUGCUGAAUUACACCGUGUUGUUGCAGAUGAGCGUCACCUAACCACAGCAGUCCUUGAAGAAGAAAGAUGGUCUGAUCGAACUGCUUAUUUAGGAACACAUUGCAAAAUCUGUGGGUGUCCUUUGGGAUCUGAGGACCUCACUCCUACAACUGCAAGGAAUUGAAUUCUUCUAACACUGAGAUGAGGUUGGAAGAAGACUCCAAGAUCCAGAAAGGAACACAGUCCCACCAACACCUGUGUUGUAACCUGGUGAGACCCUGAAACAGAGAAUCCAGCUAAGCCAUGCCCAAAAUAUUCAUCCACAAUGUGUUGUUUUAAGCUUCCAAGUUUCUAGUAAUUUGUUAUAAAGCAAUAGAAAAGUAAUA